Molecule: non-coding RNA, 883 nt
Filed under: Halichoeres ornatissimus (ornamented wrasse)
Lineage: Eukaryota; Metazoa; Chordata; Actinopteri; Labriformes; Labridae
Description: partial 12S ribosomal RNA
Rfam family: Bacterial small subunit ribosomal RNA
Source: RNAcentral
GCCAUCAACUUUAACCAGAUUUACACAUGCGAGUAUCCGCACCCCCGUGAGAAUGCCCUACAGCCUCCUGAACUGGAGACGAGGAGCCGGUAUCAGGCACAAUACUUAUAGCCCAUGACACCUUGCUUAGCCACACCCCCAAGGGAAUUCAGCAGUGAUAAACAUUAAGCCAUAAGUGAAAACUUGACUUAGUUAGCGUUAAUAGGGUCGGUAAAUUUCGUGCCAGCCACCGCGGUUAUACGAGAGACCCAAGUUGAUAGCCCUCGGCGUAAAGAGUGGUUAAGAAACACCCUAAAACUAAAGUUAAACGACUUCAAAGCUGUUAUACGCACAUGAAUAUAUGAAAACCAACUACGAAAGUGACUUUAAAUUCCUGAACCCACGAAAGCUAUGACACAAACUGGGAUUAGAUACCCCACUAUGCGUAGCUGUAAACAUUGAUACYAACAUACCUAUUUUAUCCGCCUGGGUACUACGAGCACUAGCUUGAAACCCAAAGGACUUGACGGUGCUUUAGAUCCACCUAGAGGAGCCUGUUCUAGAACCGAUAAUCCCCGUUAAACCUCACCUUUCCUUGCCCUGUCAGCCUAUAUACCGCCGUCGUCAGUUUACUCUGUGAAGAUUCUGAAGUAAGCACAAUCGGUACAACCCAAAACGCCAGGUCGAGGUGUAGCCAAUGGAAAGGGAAGAAAUGGGCUACAUUCARUAGAUAAUAAUGAAUACGGAUGAUAUUUUGAAAAUAGAUAUCUGAAGGAGGAUUUAGCAGUAAGUAGAGAAUAGAGCGCUCUACUGAAAUUGGCCCUGAAGCGCGUACACACCGCCCGUCACUCUCCCCGAGCUAAAAAAACACAUUUCUAAUAAGCAAAACCUGCAAAGGGGAGGC